This 473-nucleotide ribosomal RNA is filed under the name Listeria monocytogenes. Its description in RNAcentral is "bacterial SSU rRNA". It matches the Rfam family "Bacterial small subunit ribosomal RNA", at positions 1 to 456 of the family's 1533-position model. The record is from RNAcentral. Lineage: Bacteria; Bacillati; Bacillota; Bacilli; Caryophanales; Listeriaceae. RNAcentral also lists the same sequence under 1 other name.
UUAUGAGAGUUUGAUCCUGGCUCAGGACGAACGCUGGCGGCGUGCCUAAUACAUGCAAGUCGAACGCUUUUUCUUUCACCGGAGCUUGCUCCACCGAAAGAAAAAGAGUGGCGAACGGGUGAGUAACACGUGGGUAACCUGCCCAUCAGAAGGGGAUAACACUUGGAAACAGGUGCUAAUACCGUAUAACACUAUUUUCCGCAUGGAAGAAAGUUGAAAGGCGCUUUUGCGUCACUGAUGGAUGGACCCGCGGUGCAUUAGCUAGUUGGUGAGGUAACGGCUCACCAAGGCAACGAUGCAUAGCCGACCUGAGAGGGUGAUCGGCCACACUGGGACUGAGACACGGCCCAGACUCCUACGGGAGGCAGCAGUAGGGAAUCUUCGGCAAUGGACGAAAGUCUGACCGAGCAACGCCGCGUGAGUGAAGAAGGUUUUCGGAUCGUAAAACUCUGUUGUUAGAGAAGAACAAGGAU